Molecule: long non-coding RNA, 357 nt
Filed under: Brassica napus (rape)
Lineage: Eukaryota; Viridiplantae; Streptophyta; Magnoliopsida; Brassicales; Brassicaceae
Description: long non-coding RNA (BNAP_LNC021024)
Source: RNAcentral
UUAAAGCUGAACAUAAGCAUACUUUAAGGGUGUAACUGGUUAUUCAUAGAAGGAAUAUUAUGAAUUAAAGGAAUGAUUAUUUUUGGAAUAAGAAAAAAUGGAAUGAUAGAUUAAAUGGAAUAAAAACUGAAAAUAUUUUUGGAAUGGCUUUCCACUCAUUCACGAAGGAUUAUGAUCCUGAAUAAAAGGAACAACAUUUACAAAGGAUUUACUUUUUUGUUCCAUUCCAAAAAUGGAAUAUAUGGAAUUGUUUUUAAAAAGUUUUCAUGGUAACUGGUAAACAUUUUAUGGAAACAUGUGGAAUGACCCAUUCCAAAGAGUUUUAUUCCACAAAAUAGCAUUCCAGUUACACCCUAA